GACGAACGCUGGCGGCGUGCUUAACACAUGCAAGUCGAACGGUGAAGCGCCUUCCUUUUUGGUGGGUGUGGAUGAGUGGCGAACGGGUGAGUAACACGUGAGUAACCUGCCCCCUUCUUCUGGAUAACCGCAUGAAAGUGUGGCUAAUACGGGAUAUUCUGGGUCUGUCGCAUGAUGGGUCUGGGAAAGAUCUUGUUUCGGUGGGGGAUGGGCUCGCGGCCUAUCAGCUUGUUGGUGGGGUGAUGGCCUACCAAGGCGGUGACGGGUAGCCGGCCUGAGAGGGUGGACGGUCACACUGGGACUGAGACACGGCCCAGACUCCUACGGGAGGCAGCAGUGGGGAAUAUGGCACAAUGGGCGCAAGCCUGAUGCAGCGACGCCGCGUGAGGGAUGGAGGCCUUCGGGUUGUGAACCUCUUUCGCCAGUGAAGCAGGCCUGCCUCGUUUGUGGGUGGGUUGACGGUAGCUGGAUAAGAAGCGCCGGCUAACUACGUG
RNAcentral lists this ribosomal RNA (494 nucleotides) under uncultured bacterium. Its description in RNAcentral is "partial 16S ribosomal RNA". It matches the Rfam family "Bacterial small subunit ribosomal RNA", at positions 28 to 507 of the family's 1533-position model. The record is from RNAcentral.